Molecule: non-coding RNA, 45 nt
Organism: Schistosoma rodhaini
Lineage: Eukaryota; Metazoa; Platyhelminthes; Trematoda; Strigeidida; Schistosomatidae
Source: Rfam
AUCCAGCUGAAGAGUCCUAAAUAGGACGAAACGAGCAUGCUACAU